Molecule: ribosomal RNA, 427 nt
Filed under: uncultured bacterium
Lineage: Bacteria
Description: bacterial SSU rRNA
Rfam family: Bacterial small subunit ribosomal RNA
Source: RNAcentral
UGGGGAAUUUUGGACAAUGGGCGCAAGCCUGAUCCAGCCAUGCCGCGUGCAGGAUGAAGGCCCUCGGGUUGUAAACUGCUUUUGUACGGAACGAAAAGCCUCUUUCUAAUAAAGAGGGGUGAUGACGGUACCGUAAGAAUAAGCACCGGCUAACUACGUGCCAGCAGCCGCGGUAAUACGUAGGGUGCGAGCGUUAAUCGGAAUUACUGGGCGUAAAGCGUGCGCAGGCGGUCUUGCAGGACAGUGGUGAAAUCCCCGGGCUCAACCUGGGAACUGCCAUUGUGACUGCAAGGCUGGAGUACGGCAGAGGGGGAUGGAAUUCCGCGUGUAGCAGUGAAAUGCGUAGAUAUGCGGAGGAACACCGAUGGCGAAGGCAGUCCCCUGGGCCUGUACUGACGCUCAUGCACGAAAGCGUGGGGAGCAAACA